RNAcentral lists this unclassified non-coding RNA (273 nucleotides) under Hevea brasiliensis (rubber tree). The record is from RNAcentral. Lineage: Eukaryota; Viridiplantae; Streptophyta; Magnoliopsida; Malpighiales; Euphorbiaceae.
UAUUCUUGAUCAGGCUGGAUUUCCAGAGGUUGGAGUUUAUCGGAUGUCGGAUGAACACAUUGGUUGCUCUUUGGCUGAAGCUGCAUCCAGUCCAUCAUACAUGGAUUAUCUUACAACAGCUUCAGUUUCUUCUCCAUCUCUGCAUGUUGUCUACAUAAAUACCUCCCUGGAGACAAAAGCAUAUUCCCAUGAGCUUGUUCCAACCAUAACAUGUACUUCCUCUAAUGUUGUGCAAACUAUUCUACAGGCAUUUGCUGAAGUACCUGACUUGAA